This is a non-coding RNA of Acanthosepion pharaonis, 93 nucleotides long. The record is from the annotation of a GenBank genome assembly. NCBI's taxonomy places the organism in Eukaryota, Metazoa, Mollusca, Cephalopoda, Sepiida, Sepiidae.
UCACACCAGUUGCAGUACGACCACUGAAGUUAAGCAUUGUCGAGCCUGGUCAAUACCUAGAUGGGUGACCGCUUGGAAUACCAGGUGCUGUAA